This is a long non-coding RNA of Protopterus annectens (West African lungfish), 997 nucleotides long. RefSeq lists it as uncharacterized. The transcript has 3 exons. NCBI's taxonomy places the organism in Eukaryota, Metazoa, Chordata, Ceratodontiformes, Protopteridae. The record is from RefSeq and is a predicted model, not a curated record.
ACAUUUGGGUAUUAUUUUACAAGAGUCUGUUUCUUUGAGGAGAUUCACCAUUGCUAGUAACUUGUAUCUAGAAGAGGAUGGUGCUACCUUUAGCAACCUCUGAAACACAGAUGUUCUUAUUCUCAUUCAGUCAAAUCAGUGCUGCAUAUUCAACUUGAUUCAUGUUAUAAAAUGUAUCCUUAUAAUUUGUUUUCAGUACAGGCUUGUUAUUUUUCCAUACACAUUUGAUUGCCUUAAGAGAAUCAGAGGCCAGUGUUAAAACACUGGGUUUCUUAAGUUUCUUACAGAUAUAUUCUUUAUCAUUCUCUGAAUGCAGUUUAUGACGAUUGGUAAACGACUUUGCACUAUUAAGUGUAUCAGUCACUUUCUCCUCUUGUAAAGGAGUUGAAGUCCACUCAGCACUACUGUUUUAUUAAGUGACAGUACAUUAGAAAAUAGUUAAUAAUGGAGCACAUGACAAUCUCCUUCUUACUUGAAAUUUGCAUGUUUUUGCUGUCCUCACUACUUUGUCUUCUUUUUGCCUUUUUACAUCCACCACUUCCUUUCUAAAAUUUUACAUCUUCUCUUCUAGUAUACUUUCUGGUGCUGAAUAUUGCUUACCUAAUCAUGGAGAUCACCUUGGAAACACAUGAGAGUUCUCUAGCCCAUCUCUAAAAAAGCAAAGCCAGAUGACUGUCACUGGUGAAGUGACACCCUGACUGCAUAUGCAAAAAUCGGAAAAAGGGGUUGUGGAUGAAUGGAUGGAUUACAGCUGUGAAGCAUAAGUGAAUUGUUGGAAUCUACAUCAAAGAAGAAUUUGGACUGAUGGGGAAGCAAGCAUUAAGAGAUAUGAAAGUGUGUCCAAACUAGUUACAGAAUGCAAGGUUACCAGAAGUAGAAAUCCCAAACCAAAUACAAAUGGAAAGGAAAUAAUGGCAGGAUGGUGGAUGUUACUGGAUGAAAGUCCCCCUGUAUAAAACCCGCUUUGGCACGGUUUUUGCGCUUGUUACUACUCAGC